AGGUAGCGAAGUUAUACCGUUACCGUAUCGUCCGGACCAACUUCCUAAGCCACUUGAUGUGCCCGUCGCCGAAGGCCAAGAUAUUACAAUAAGUUGUGACUUCAAAACUGGCGACGACCAGCAGGUAGUCUCAUGGAGCAGACUCGACCAGCGUCCAUUGCCACAAAAUGUUCAACUCAACGGCAGAGAACUUAUCUUUCAGAGAGCAACCACCGAAAACGCUGCCGAGUACCUCUGCAAAGUGACAGGCGGCGGUUUCUUGCUGCGUCAACUAUACUUAAGACUUGCUGUGCUGACGUUGCCUCGUGUCGUUAUCCGUCCUGAGAGACCCACAGUGACGCGAGGGGAGGAGUUGACAGUGGAGUGUGUGGCGGAUGGCAACGCUCAGGUGUCUUGGGAGCGUGUCGACGGGGCUUUCGCUAGGUAAAACUUGAGAUCAAACAGGCAGCCACCAAAAACGCUGUCGAGUACCUCUGCAAAGUAACAGGCGGCGGUUUCCUGCUGCGUCAACUAUACUUAAGACUUGCUGUGCUGACGUUGCCUCGCGUCGUUAUCCGUCCUGAGAGACCCACAGUGACGCGAGGGGAGGAGUUGACAGUGGAGUGUGUGGCGGAAGACAACGCUCAGGUGUCUUGGGAGCGUGUUGACGGGACUUUCUCCAGUCGCGUGGAGAACCGAGGUGCACAGCUGGUCUUCCGGAACAUAGACGUUGAAGAUGGUGGAUCUUACAGGUGCAUUGCUCGAAAUAACGCAGGAGAGGCUGCUCAAACUACGGAAAUUGUUG
Molecule: long non-coding RNA, 784 nt
Organism: Cydia amplana
Lineage: Eukaryota; Metazoa; Arthropoda; Insecta; Lepidoptera; Tortricidae
Exons: 4
Source: RefSeq, a predicted model, not a curated record